Molecule: microRNA precursor, 74 nt
Filed under: Mustela putorius furo (domestic ferret)
Lineage: Eukaryota; Metazoa; Chordata; Mammalia; Carnivora; Mustelidae
Description: miRNA (ENSMPUG00000023310.1)
Source: RNAcentral
GACUGUGCCACCUGGUUUGCCUGGGACCGAGGGGUCUCUUGGGGCGUGAGCCUUUCAGUACUAAAAUCAGGACA